Molecule: ribosomal RNA, 492 nt
Filed under: uncultured bacterium
Lineage: Bacteria
Description: partial 16S ribosomal RNA
Rfam family: Bacterial small subunit ribosomal RNA
Source: RNAcentral
AGUGAACGCUGGCGGUAGGCCUAACACAUGCAAGUCGAACGGCAGCACAGUAAGAGCUUGCUCUUACGGGUGGCGAGUGGCGGACGGGUGAGGAAUACAUCGGAAUCUACUUUUUCGUGGGGGAUAACGUAGGGAAACUUACGCUAAUACCGCAUACGACCUACGGGUGAAAGCAGGGGAUCUUCGGACCUUGCGCGAUUGAAUGAGCCGAUGUCGGAUUAGCUAGUUGGCGGGGUAAAGGCCCACCAAGGCGACGAUCCGUAGCUGGUCUGAGAGGAUGAAUAGCCACACUGGAACUGAGACACGGUCCAGACUCCUACGGGGGGCAGCAGUGGGGAAUAUUGGACAAUGGGGGAAAGCCUGAUCCAGCCAUACCGCGUGGGUGAAGAAGGCCUUCGGGUUGUAAAGCCCUUUUGUUGGGAAAGAAAAGCAGCAGGUUAAUACCCCGCUGUUCUGACGGUACCCAAAGAAUAAGCACCGGCUAACUUCGUG